This 253-nucleotide ribosomal RNA is filed under the name uncultured bacterium. RNAcentral describes it as "partial 16S ribosomal RNA". It matches the Rfam family "Bacterial small subunit ribosomal RNA", at positions 524 to 776 of the family's 1533-position model. The record is from RNAcentral.
UACGGAGGGUGCUAGCGUUGUUCGGAAUCACUGGGCGUAAAGGGCGUGUAGGCGGUCUGUUAAGUCUGAUGUGAAAUCCCCUCGCUCAACGAGGGAACUGCGUCGGAUACUGGCAGACUCGAGUACCGGAGAGGAAGGUGGAAUUCCUGGUGUAGCGGUGAAAUGCGCAGAUAUCAGGAGGAACCCCGGUGGCGAAGGCGGGUCUCUGGGCCGAUACUGACGCUGAGGAGCGAAAGCGUGGGGAGCGAACAGG